UCCAUCUCCACUGCACCGGAAUUUCCUCCGGCGGAGGUGAAGCUCAUAUCAUCCACCUAAACACAUCACCAGAAUCAGAUUUCCACCCUCAACCUCUAAAAUAACUCAAUUCCAUCAAAUUCUCAACCAUCAAUUCAGAAUUCAUGACUAGAAUGAAGAACCAUAUGAUUUCUAUUCAAAAUUAAAUGAAAAUUGUUCAUGGAUUCAUAAUCAAGGUUUGGGGAUAAUGAUCCCUAGGGUGUAAGCUACACAAUGGUAACAUGACGUUGAAGAAACAAGAAGAAAAGAGUUACCUACAAAGUGGUGAUUUGCUCUGGCGAAGUGUUGAAUCGGAGAAGAAGCUUGCAAUGAGGAAAAUCACUUGAAUCCGGUUGGUAACAAUGGGUAGAGUUGUUGCAAGAUUACAUGAGACUCUAAUCUUGCCCUGCAGAAUUUGCUGAAUCGAUGUCAUGCAAACUUGCCGGUGGACUUACUGCAGGACUGCAUCAUGGUCGCAAAAGAUUGAUGAUGAUGAUCCAAGUUGCCAGGUAAGGCCGCAACAUAUGUCAUGGUAUUGUGAAGUUGAUGUUUUAUUCCUGCAGGGUUACUCUGUUACAACAGGAUCUGUGUGAUGAUGGUAUGAUGUAACAAGCCUUGUUCAUUGGUUAUUGCUGCAAUACAUGUUGUGGCUAUGAAGAAUGGAUGUUGAUACUAAGGUUGCAUCAUGAGGCCAUGACUGAAUGUGGAUGUGAAGUGAUGAUAUAUCAAGGUUGUUAGAUCUUUUGGAUGGAAAUGUAGGAUUUCUGUUUGAUGUAGAAAGACUCGUGGCAUGGCAAGGUUUAUGGUAUGAUGACCUGGUGCACUGCCAAUGUUUGUGAGCUGCCAUGGACUGGUUUAACAUGGUAUGAUGUCAUAUGGUUGCAAGGCCUUUGGUUUGUGCAAGGCAAGGCAAAGUGACCAUGUUCAAAGGCAUGGCCAAGGCAAACUUACAAUACAUGGAAUUCUUGUUUGUGAAGAAAGUGUGACAAUGGAAGAUCAAGAAGUCAAUGCAUGAAUGAAAUGUGAUUAGUGUUAGGACUUUAGGGUGAAAAAUGUAAUGGUUGACUUUAGUUAACUGGUUGACCAAAAAGUCAAUAGUUGACAAAAAAUCAACUUUUGCAAAAAUGUAAUUUUUUAGAUUUCUUUUUGUAAUGGACUAUAUAUACCUUUAUGAAUGAAUG
Molecule: long non-coding RNA, 1199 nt
Organism: Lathyrus oleraceus (garden pea)
Lineage: Eukaryota; Viridiplantae; Streptophyta; Magnoliopsida; Fabales; Fabaceae
Exons: 3
Source: RefSeq, a predicted model, not a curated record